UUUUUUUUUUUUUUUUUUGUAUUUUUCCCAAAAGAUGAGUUUGAAUAUAUUUACACUUAAUUUGCCUUGUGAAAAGACAAGUUUAAUGUUUUUCAAUAUUUUUAAAAUUAAAAAUAAUUAUAUAUAUAAAAAAAAGAAUAUAUAAAUAGGAAAUCUAGAGAGCCAAUAUAUUUUUUACGCCAUUAUUUGAAAAAAGGCUAAGUGGAUAUCAAGCUGGUUGUGGCUACUCUCCAACCCAAUAACGUUUUGGGCUGGUCUAACCACCAUUGAAUAAGAGAUGGGACUCUUUUACAAAGAGUAAAAACAAAUUUAAUAUAAAAAUUUUACACUUAAUUUUCAAAAUAAUGUCAUUACAAUAUAUUAUUAUUAUAUUGAAUUUAUCUUUUUAAAGGUUGAGGUAGAAUUUUCAAUAUUUUAAUAAUAUUUUUUUUAAAAUUGUGCCUUGGGCACCCAAAUGGAAUGUAAUGCAAUCCCACGACACCUUUUCCUUUUGUGGGUGGACUCCCAUACAAAGGAACUGCCAUUGGAGCAGUAAAGGGACCUCAAAUAAAUUUUCACCAAAAAGAAAUAUAUCAUUAGAAAAUACCAUUAAAGCAAGUAAUGGGUCUUAAAUAUUAUGCAUUUUUUGUAAUACCCAUUGAAAAGGAAAUGCAAAUAAAUUGAUGCCUAUUUUUUUUUUUUUAAUGAUUCUUGAAUUUGGCUUUAUAUAAGAACAAGGGGAAUUUAGAAGAUGACUUUGUAAACAAGAAGUGAUGAAUAGGAAGGAGAAUAUGCCAAAUAGACUUUGCUUCACAACAAGGCAAGUACUUAAAAAAUAGUAGAGAAUAGUAAAAAAAAACAAAAAAUUAAAUUCAAAAAAUAAAAGCAUUGACAGCCUAUCCACAUGUGAUUAAAAGUUUUAGGGCUAUAAUCACUUUCCACUACUUCCCUUAUCAAUUUUCUUCCUUCAGGAAAGAGACCACCUUCAUUCAGAAACCAACCAUCUCUCUCUCUCAGGUUGAAAACUUCUGGGUUUUUUUUUUUUUUCUUUCUGGGGUUUUAGAUCUUUUUUAGGGUUUAAUGGGUUUACUGUGUUGUUUUGGUCUUUGUGAUUAUCAUAAUAUAAUUCUUAAGCCUUUCUUAUUGGGUAGAUCUAUUUUUCCACUCUGAUUCCAGUUUUCUUCAUACAGAUCUUUGAAUGGGGUUGCUGUGGAUGGUCUGCUAGCUAGUUUUUGGUGAAAAUCCAACUGGGUUUCUGCUUGAUUGCUGAGAAAUUAUAGGAAAACAAAUUAGAACUUGGGAGUUUUUGACAGGUUGGAGUAUGAUAGCAUCCAGCUGGAAGAUUCCCAAUUUUUUUUUUUCCUGUUUCCUGGUUUAUUUAAAUUGGAUGAUUCAAUCAUUGAUAAUUGAUUGGUUCUCUCUUCAUUUUCUUUCUUCACAGUAAAGAAAAUAAAGAUCCGAUAAGACAUGGCUACUGAUGGGCCAAGCUGGGCUGAUCAAUGGGGUGCAGGAGGGAUAGGAGCCAUGGAAGAUGAUGAUGAGAAAACCAAGAAGGACAGCAGCAGCAGCAAGAAGAAGACAGAUGCUAAGGCUACAGCUGCAGCUGGACUGGGCAAAGCCAAGGCUGCAGCAAUGGUAGGAGCACAGAAGAUCAAAAGCGGAACAUCAAUCGGCAUCAAAUGGGUAAAGAAUCAAUGCCAGAAGAAGGGUUCUUCCAAAUAAAUCAACCAGAUUGUUCAACUUCAAUUGCAUGAAAGAAGAGUAUGUUGUGAAUGACUUUGCUUUGUGUUAUGAUCUUCUCUUUUUCCAUUUUUCACCAGAUUCCCAUCAAGAAAAUGUCAAUUGUUUGUGCGCAAAAAAGAUUCAUCUGUUACCUAAUGAUUUUGUGCAUAUAAUAUGAGUCUAUCCGUCUACCUUACAUCACUUAAACCACCAUGAAGGUUCAAACUUGGAACCUGAUUCAUUGCCAGAGGGCACAACCACCAAGCUAAACCUAAACCCGGGCAGCUCGCUAUCAUGAUGAUGGAAACCUUAGUAUCUCUGUAUUAACAAUAUUUCACCAUGAUUCCAGAUGAAAAUACAAAUCACCAUCUAUGCUUAUACUUUUGCGAUUCCAUGGAAAGCCCUCCAACAAGAACAGAAAAGCUAUAGGGGAAGUUUCUUAAAAUUUAAUUUCAUCAACGAAAAUCUCAGCUGUAAAGAUUCAAACAUAAAAUCAAACUACUUGCAUAAUCCAAUUAUUGUUACUAAUCAACAUUGACUAGGGUAAAGUGUAUGGGAAAGCAGGGUGGCCAUUGAAUGUAAGGGAACUGACGAGAAUUUACAGCUUUGAGGUUCUAUUUGCAGAAUCCGAAUGUGUUCUCACCACUGUAGGUCAUGUAGAGAAAACCAUCUUCAUCCUUGUUUUCCUCAUAGAUAGCAGACAUCAAUGCAGCUGUGACAACAGAAACUAUAUUACAAACACAAUUUUGAAGAACAGUAUGCCACUAAAUUAUAGCAUUUUGCACUAACCAGUUGACGGUAGAGUGUUCUUGACAAAGACAAAUAUGGCUUUCUCAGCACUGAGCUUAAUCCUUUUCCGGAUGACAUAAACAAACUGCCCCACAGUCAAAUCUGCAGGAACCAAGUAUCUGCAUUCACAAGAACAGAGAUGCAAGGAAGUGAAAAAUCUACAAAUAUAGGGAGUAAACAUGAAUGAGAGACUUUAGCAUUUGUCUUGCUCAGUCUGAUCCAGAAGAUUCAGCCUCAAAUGACAGAAAGCACAUACCAUCUAAUCAAGAUCAAGUGGUAUAUAAGGCUAAAUGCAAAUACUAGCAUACAUGUAAACUUUAUUCAGAGCAGUAACUAUUUCUACUAGUCCAGGAUCAUUGUUCAGACACAAAAGCAAUUAACAGUCUCGUGGACUAAAUGUGUGUUUGGCAAAAAUUAAGAUUCAGAGCAAUGAUCAAAGUAGGAUCAGUGCACCAACACAUAAUAGAAAAAUAGCCAUGGGGGCCUACUACAUGCUCGUAGAACUUGGCAAUGAAGUUCUCUCAUUUUUUCCAACAUGUUAUUCGGGCCUCACUUGGAGGACUGCAUAACCAUAUGAAGCAAAGGAAUUAAGGAGAGACUCUAAUUGCCUCAACAAAGGCUUUAUCUUGACUGAAAAAAGAGUAGAAAAAUAAAGGAAAUACAGACAGAAUAGAAGUCAUGCAAUAAUCUUGGAUCAAAACCAGUCUAACCUAAGUUAAAUCCAGGUUUUUAAAGAAUUGGCAUGACAGAGAGCAAGAUGUACACAAGAGGCAAGAAACUGAAUCAGUAAGAAGCCUUGUAAAUUCAAUCACCAGACAAUGGAAAAAACUGGUUUGGCAAGAAAUAUGGAUCACAAGUAGAAUUGUACAUCAUCAGAUGUACCAUCAGUGGAAUUGGAAUAAAUCAUGCUGACAUAUCCAGUCCCAUGCUUCUAACACAUUUUUAAACCCAGUGAGAUACCUAACAAGUUGAACUAGUUUUAGUAAAACGAUCCUUCCCCUUAGAAGAAAAACAAACUGCACUGACCCUUCAACCAUACUACUAAUAUCAACUCCACUUCUCCAACAUCACCAACAUUAUCCCACUCCCGACACCACUACCAAUUCCAACACCCUUGAUCACCACUGCCGCAACACCACCAUCCCAGGAGUCCCCACCACCACAUAGCAAACCUUCUGAAGAUAAUAUGAAGCCAGGGAUGUGACAUUAUAUGCAUUGAAGGUCAGAAUGUGAAAUAGCAACUACAAAGCACUAACAAACAUCCUGCAUUUAGCAAAUUUGUAUAAACCCCAAGCAUAAUAAUCAUGAUAAGGAAGACUGUGGAAAUCUAAACACAAAUAUAAAGCAUUUAAGCAUUCAGAAUGUAAAGGCAACAAGAGAUGCUGGAAACAUUAAUCAAAAUAUAAAAUAAAUAUUAAUGAAGGCCCCAACCACAUGCAGGUAAAGCAUAGAAAAGAAGUUUGAACAAAGAAAGCAGGUGAAACUAACUUCUUCUUAUCAAUGCUAGGUAUGUCACUCCUAUUGGCCUUCUCCACAAUCACCUGCAAUCAACACUUCUCUCAGAUGAGGACAUUGCAUAAAUACAUGAAACCAAUCAUAAUUAGAAUUGACUUAUAGUCUUGAUUAUCCAAAAGAAAUCUCACUGGUAUUCUAUCCGGAUGCUUUUUUCUGAUGCGAGCAGCUUCUGUCUGCCUCUUUUCUAACAUGCAGAAGAUUGAAAAUUUUAUAAUUAGCGGAUAAAAGAAAUAUUAUGUAACAAAAUACUUAACUUCCUUUCCUUCCAUUUAAAUAGAAAGGAAAUACUGAACAAAGAUCAGAUGAUGAUGACAACAAGAAGCACAUCAUAAAGAGAUCAUACAGAAAAAGCAUAAUAAAAAUAGAAAUUGAUAAUGCUAUUCAAUUCACAACUCAGUCUUUUCACAUAUCAUAUCAAUGUCAAUUCCCUUAUUUUCUAAUGCAUGGAACUUUAACAAACUCUAUUGUGACUACCUUUCUUGUAAAGGAUCACUUCACUGGUGGUGUUUGGUUGCCAUGUUAAACCCAGAAAAGUUCAUAACUAACACCAUUUUAUGCCGUUGGUGUCAGGAGCCAGAGUGCCCUGGGUCUUGAUCAUUUGAUGCAUGCAAGCUGUUUUGCUGAGCAAAUGGCAAGCAUCUUUUUGUUUUAUUUGUUUUAUCUUAUGAAGAGUGCCUUCUUAAUCGGCUGGCUACCUCUCAAUACAAGUAUUUCUGUUCUUUUGCCCAAUACCUUGGAUAGGUUGGGUAAGCUAGCCUUUGCAAAUGCCAAUGGCUUGCAAACAGAAAAAUGUUCAGACUGUGGGGCUAACUAAAUAGUCUUCAACAGGCUAAAUACGAAGCUAACAAAUUAGAACACAAUGAAUCGUUUUUUUUUUGCUCUAGAGGAAGCUAAAAUAGGGGAAACUUUGCCAGAGAGCAGGGUAAAUCCUUGGGGUACAAAGAUUAGGGCUCUAAUGGCCCAAGGAUUUGGGCCAAAUAAAAAAGACCCAAGUUUGCUCAUCUACAAUAAUUCAACAAGAAACUAGAAAACCCAGAAGUAUUAUAACAUUAGCCAUAACAUCCUUCGAUUACAGAGGCUAAUAAGAAGAGAAAACCCAGAAUUAGCAAAAAGAGGAAGCCUCGUGACAUGCUUUCACAUGCUAAAGGCAAGAACAGAUCCUCAUUCAAUCUUUCUUGCAAUAAUUGCAUGUCUAUAAAAACCAUCAAGUGCUUCAAUAAAGUUCAAAUUUUCAUGAGACAAAACAUCCCCUAUUCAAAACCCAUUACUCCAAUUUAACAUCAAGGGAAACAAAUUUCACAAAAACAAUUCCAGAUUCCCAAAUAACUCCAACAUACAAGUUGUCAAAUCAGCCACCAACACACAAUCCAAGAAUACCCACAUCAGUGUUUUACAAGAUUUGCCACAAAACACAUGGGUAUUUAGAAUCCAAAGAAAAAAACAAAACAAGACUAACCCAGAGGGUGUUCAAGCUUGAAGUUGGAGGAGCUUUUGGCCAUGGUGAGACUUAUACCCCUACCUCGUCUCUCUGCAGAUUUCAAACAUCCAAACAACAUUACCACACCAAACCCACAACGCCUUCCACCAAGAAGACACUAAAAACACCUACUUUAUAAUAAUUUCGAUGAAGAGAAAAAUAUGAAGAUGAAUAACAUACCAAAAACUAAAAAUAAAAAAAUAAAAUUAAUGUCAAAAUGAAGAAGAUCAGGGUUUGGAGAAUGAUUGGAUGAUUGAUCACGUUUAUAGUGUCAAAAUCAGGAAACAAAUAUUUGGGGUUUCUUACAGAGAAGAAACUUGUCUGGGAUUCCAAAACCAAACCCAAUGCAAUGAACCAACGUUGAACUGAGUUGCCUGUGUUACAAGAAAACUGUUUUCGUAGGCCCUUUGCGGUUCUUAUGCAUUUAGAUUCAACCAAUUUCAAGGUUUGAUCAUUGAGCCAACAAUUGAAUAUAUGGCAUGUCACCAUCACAAAUUUCCAUUGAAGUGGGCCAAUUGAAAAUAAAAUAAAAAUUAUCAUCUAAAAAAAUGAAAAAUAAAAAUUCAGUUCAUCCCUUCUAAACGAUAAGCAUAUAAAGCAUAUUUAUCUUUACUUAUCCUUAAUCAUUUUCAUCAUUAUCAUAAUUUUUUUUUUUGAAAUUCUAUAUAACAUAUAUUAUAUCCCAAAAAUAUCUUAGAAGAAAAGAACAAGAAAGAAAUUAAGUUACAAACAUAAAUAUACGUUACCUCUAUUCCAAAAUAUUAGUCAUUAUUUUCUUCUUUUAUCUAAAUGAAAUAAUAGAUAUUCCCUUAAAAUGGACUUAUUUUUUAAGUCAGGAGUGUCUUAGAUUUAUAAAUUCUGCAUUAUUUCAUUUAUUUUAAUCAAAUAAUCCCUUUAUUUUAUCUUUUUAGUUUUUUAUUUUGUGGUUUAAUAUGUUAUUUUAUAUUUUUUGAUUUAUUUAUUUAUAAAAUUUAUAUUCUCCAUAAAAUCUAAAAAAUGACACCUCAACAAUUUUCCAAAAAUCAAAUAAUAAAUCUUUAAAAAUAUUAACCAAUGAAAAAUAUAAGAAAUUAAUAAAUUAAUUUAAAAUUAGAUUAAUAAUUAAGAGAUACCCAAAAUCUUAAUUAAAAACUCACUCCACAAAAAUAAUGUAGAAAAAUUAAAAUAAAAUCUGAGCAUAAGUAUUUUUAUUUAUCUUGGUGGAUCAACGUACAUACAUGGAAUCUAAAAGGUGAUCAAUGCACUAUAUUGCAAACUAGUUUAUGUCUAAACUUCAAUCUAAGCUCCAAAAAUUUUAAAAAGUAGAUGUAUGAACUAUUUCAUAAAAUAAAUUGGUGGAGGUGAUAAGAAUGUGAUUAGGGUACAAAUAUGUGAAUGAUGAUAACAAACAUAUAAAUAAUAUACUAAAUUAAAUUAUGUGACUUAGGUGGUGUUUGUUUUUUUGACUUUUUACUGAAAACAAUUUAGUUUUAGAAUUUAGAUUGUUUGUUUUUCUAUUUUUUUAUAACUUAUUAUAAACUUUUUACUAAAUAGAAAAAACCAAAAUAUAUAACUUUUUCUAAAUAGAAAAAAUAACUUAUUAUUUUUUUUACUUUUUAGUACUUAAUAGAAAUAAAAUACUAAAAAAACAAACAACCUAAUAUUUAACACUAUUAACCAUUAAAGUUUUAUUUAGAAUUAAGUAAAAAAAACAAACACCACCUAUACAAUGAAUGUGGUAAGAGUGAAAAAUUACAACUACACAUAAAGAAUAUGACUAACAUAUAAAAAAUGUGACAAAAUUAGGAAACUUUAAUAAAAGUACUGAUAUAAAACUUGUGAUUAAGAAAUAGAAAAUUUUACCAUAGUAUGAAGAAUAUAACUAAAGUACUUAAAAUAUGAAUGUAUCUAUUAGCCCAAGGGUUCUCCUAAUCAGGUUUUGAUGAUAACAAAUCAUAGUUAAGUGACUAAUUGGUUUGAAGGGUAAAGAAUCUCAAAUGUAAAUUCGAAAAUUCAGCAAAUUACCAAAAGAAUACAAGAUUGAGACUAUUUGAAGACUUUUGAUAGUAAGAUACGAAUGUAAGAUGAAUGCAUGAGUGCACUUAAGUUUUAUUUAAUACAUUUUCAUGCAUUUUUGAAAACUUGGUUUAUUCGUUAAAAUUCUGAUUUCAUUAAAACUUGAGUUUCAUCAAAUGUACCUUAGGCAAAACGUUUCAAAAUUGACAUAUUAAUUUACCUAAAGACUUUGCCUAACUGUUAGAAAAGAAAGGAAUUGAAAAAGAUAGGUUUUCUGGACCAAAAGGCUGAAUCGAUCGAGGCUCUGGCUAACCGGCUCAACCGGUUGUGGAACCGGUCGACCGAUUGCCCUUGUCCGAUCGAUGAGUGCCAAAAACACUCUCUCUUAUCCAGUAGCUUCCUUUUCCAGGUUGAGGUUCCAUCCUUCCUGGUUGAGGUCCAGUCAAGACAACGGUAGUCUGCCAAAGCAUUAAAUGCUCCAAUGGCUAGUGAACUGGUCGACCCCCAGCUCAACCGGUUGAGGUUGCCUUUUGCUUUUCUUGGCUCCCGAGUUUAGAAACCUAUAAAUUAAGAGAUCCACUUCAUUUAUGAAAAAGAGAACACUUGUAAUCAAUUAUCUACCUAAAUGUUCUUAACUUAAAAGCUCUCAUUUUUUUCUUAGUGCAUUAAACCAUCACUUACAUAUCUUUUAGUGUACCCUUGUGAAUCAUCCUAACUUUGUUUUGUAUUUGAAUCAUCUCUGAGUUAUCUUUGAGUUAGGUUAAGGGAUUAUUUCUUGUAAAACUUGAGUGUUAAAGCCUUCAAGAGGUUUGAAUCUUGAAGAGAUUGUGUAAGAGCACAUUGGAGCCGAAAUCCAAUUGUAAAGAAUUGGAAGCUUGGUUGAAGCUUCAAGCUAGUGGAACCUUCACUCGGUUAGGAGAUUGAUGAGAGUGGACGUAGGCAAGGAAGUACCGAACCACUAUAAAAUCUGAGUUUGAAUUCUCUAACUCUAUCCCUUUAUUUCUUGAUUAUAUUGUGUUUGAAUUUAUUGUGUUAAAAAAGUUUUGAAAAACCCAAUUUACCCUCCUCUUGGGUGUUUUUCUCAUUUAAGCAUAACCUUUAUUUUCACAGUAUCCACGUAUAACAAAUGUGACUAAAGUAUGAAAAUGCGACGAUAAUACUAAAUACUAAUAUAUAUGAAGAAUAUGAUGAUGGUAAAAAUAAAUAUGAUUAGGGAAUGAACAAAUAUGAUUAUGGUAUAAAAAAGUGAAAUCAAAGUAGCUAAAGUAUAAAAAUAUGAUUAAAAUAUGAAAAAUGUAGGCAUGAGGGGGAGUUAUUAAAGUGUCUUUGUGGAACAACCAACAUGAGUUUGUUUUAUUCAAAAUAAUCAAAAUUAUAAUUGCUUAAAUAAGUAGAUAUUAGUUACCUCUCAAAUUUCCAUACAUAAACCUCAAUCUCGGAAAUCUUGAUCUCAAACAAGAUAUGUAUUGGCUCAUGACAACAUUGCAAUAUCUUGAGGAUGAAUAAAAUAAACUAUAGUUAUUACUUUUUCAAAUUAUUUUGAAAUACUUGCAAUUUAUGAAAUGGGUGGAUAAUCUAUAUAAUUAAAAUUUGUAAUGAAACGAGAAUCAUUGAGAAUAUUCUCUAUAAAAGAAAUAUAAUCCAAGGAUGUUACAUAAUGAUAAUGUUGUACGAUUUACAUAAAUUAAAGAAUGAUAUGUUAAAAGGGAUUGAAGGAAACGUAUCUCUCUUAAGUUCUUUUAUAGUCAUUAACUUUAUAAAAGUGAUAAAAUUAAUGUUCAACAAAUAAGAUAAAAUGAUAAUUUAACCAAUUUAUUCACAAAAGAAUUACCAUCUACCAUAUUAAAAAAAGUUCAUACAUAAUAUCAUAAUGUGAUGGUUGAAAGAUCCCUUCGAUUUCACAUGUGAAGAUCAACCAAGUACAAGGGGUUAUUAUUAAAAUAUGUUAUUGAACUAUAAUUUUUUUUACGUUUUAUCCCAUCAAAUUUUAUAGUUCAAAAUUUCCUUCUCUUGUUAGGUUUUUCUCAUCCAAUGAUGUUCUUACGCCAUGGAUGAGGAGGAAUGUGGAAAAGUUAUCAUUCUAUUGGUAACAUUUUUAAUGAGAUAUCAAAUUGAAAAAAAAUUAUAGCAAGUUUUUGUUAGGUUUUUCUCAUCCAAUCAUAUUAUGACGUCAUGGAUGAGGAAAGUGUGAAAAAGUUAUCUUGAAAAUUGCAAUAUAAAAGGUUGUAACAUAGUACGAGAUUUUGUGGAUAUCUUUCUUGAGACAACAAUUUCCCAUGCACAUCCUUAAUGUUUGAUUCUCCUUAAAGCCUACCCCUCAAGAUUAUAUUCUCUUUCUUUUCUCCCCUCUUUUGUUCUACUUUUAUUUCACAUGACAAGUAAACUAACAUUAAAAACAAAAUCGACAUCUAUCCCAAUUCAAUCAAGUCUUUUCCAAUUCUGUCCUAUUGGGAUGGGAGGCAGCAGAUGCCGGAGGAUACGCCCAGUGCCAUCUCUGCAUUACAGCAAAUCUCCCUCUUAUUAAUUGCUUCUUCAUUGGGUUUCUGCAACUUCCUCGAAAGAAUGGCUAUAAAAGCAAGAUGUGGAAUGAGAGUUAUGAAACAAACCACCAAUACAAUAGAUGUACUAUAUAUGGCGAUCUUCUCUUUGAUCCAAGAGAAUCUGCCAAGGGAAGCCGAACAAACAAAAGUCUUCAUACACUAUUGAUCGAUGAGAUGUGGAUGAUUUUGUUCAGUGACAAUGUGUGGGAAAUCAUGCAGCUUCUUUUCUUUUUUCUUUUGGAUUUUCUUGGUGGGGUUGUGAUUGAUCAUGUAUCCUGUUAUUGGGCACGAGUCGGCAUGUAUAAAUUGAUGGGGCAACUACAAACUACCCUCCCUUGUCUGAUAUCUGAAAAUGCAUGUGUUGACAGUUAAUACUAACUCAAUUUAUGAUUUUUUUUUUCUCAUUAAAUUUCAACCAUUGAAUGAUUUGGACCUAAGGGUAGUGAUAGCUAGUGGCCCGUAUAAGUGAAGGAGAAUCUCUUUUCUCCUCCUUUCAUGAACACACGUCUCUUUCUCUCUCCCUCUCUCCCUCUCUCCCUCUGUAUCUUUCUCUCUAUACAUCUCUUUCUCUACCUGUCUAUCCAUCUGUCUGUCUCUUUCAGUUCUCAAUUCUUCCAAUUUGGGUUGUAAGUGAAAGAGUAUCUCUUUUUUCCUCCUUUCAUGAACACCUCUCUCUCUCUCUCUUUCUUCUUCUUCUCUAUCUAUCUCUCUGUCUCCCUCAGUUCUCAAUUGUUCCCAUUUGGGUUGUAUUUCUUCAGACUUUAUAAACUAGGUUGUUCAUAGAAGGAAGAAGACUAGCGCAGGAAACAGAACAUGGGUCAGUGUUAUUCUGCAACACCAACGCAGGGGAGCCAUUGUCAUCAUGAAGAGAGUUCAAGCUUGAAGAAAAGAUGUCUUGCCAAGGCAAAGGAGCAAAGGUCUAGGCUCUACAUACUAAGGAGAUGUGUCAUCAUGUUACUAUGUUGGCACAAGUAUGGAAAGUAUUGAUCAAUCAACUUGUAGCCCACCAUGAUCAGUGUUUUUAACUUUCAACUUUGGGAAGAAGGUGCAUACCUUUUUGCCAAUUAUUUUAUUCCUAAGCUAGCUAGCUAGCUACCUUGUUUCAUAUCNNNNNNNNNNNNNNNNNNNNNNNNNNNNNNNNNNNNNNNNNNNNNNNNNNNNNNNNNNNNNNNNNNNNNNNNNNNNNNNNNNNNNNNNNNNNNNNNNNNNGAUCCAAGAGAAUCUGCCAAGGGAAGCCGAACAAACAAAAGUCUUCAUACACUAUUGAUCGAUGAGAUGUGGAUGAUUUUGUUCAGUGACAAUGUGUGGGAAAUCAUGCAGCUUCUUUUCUUUUUUCUUUUGGAUUUUCUUGGUGGGGUUGUGAUUGAUCAUGUAUCCUGUUAUUGGGCACGAGUCGGCAUGUAUAAAUUGAUGGGGCAACUACGAACUACCCUCCCUUGUCUGAUAUCUGAAAAUGCAUGUGUUGACAGUUAAUACUAACUCAAUUUAUGAUUUUUUUUUUCUCAUUAAAUUUCAACCAUUGAAUGAUUUGGACCUAAGGGUAGUGAUAGCUAGUGGCCCGUAUAAGUGAAGGAGAAUCUCUUUUCUCCUCCUUUCAUGAACACACGUCUCUUUCUCUCUCCCUCUCUCCCUCUGUAUCUUUCUCUCUAUACAUCUCUUUCUCUACCUAUCUAUCCAUCUGUCUCUCUUUCAGUUCUCAAUUCUUCCAAUUUGGGUUGUAAGUGAAAGAGAAUCUCUUUUUUCCUCCUUUCAUGAACACCUCUCUCUCUCUCUCUCUCUCUCUCUCUCUCUCUCUCUCUCUCUCUCUCUCUCUCUCUCUCUCUUUCUUCUUCUUCUCUAUCUAUCUCUCUGUCUCCCUCAGUUCUCAAUUGUUCCCAUUUGGGUUGUAUUUCUUCAGACUUUAUAAACUAGGUUGUUCAUAGAAGGAAGAAGACUAGCGCAGGAAACAGAACAUGGGUCAGUGUUAUUCUGCAACACCAACGCAGGGGAGCCAUUGUCAUCAUGAAGAGAGUUCAAGCUUGAAGAAAAGAUGUCUUGCCAAGGCAAAGGAGCAAAGGUCUAGGCUCUACAUACUAAGGAGAUGUGUCAUCAUGUUACUAUGUUGGCACAAGUAUGGAAAGUAUUGAUCAAUCAACUUGUAGCCCACCAUGAUCAGUGUUUUUAACUUUCAACUUUGGGAAGAAGGUGCAUACCUUUUUGCCAAUUAUUUUAUUCCUAAGCUAGCUAGCUAGCUACCUUGUUUCAUAUCUCUCUAUCUUCUUUAUAAAGUUCAGCUUUUUCUUAACAUUAUAAUCAACAUGGAUAUAUGGUGAAGAAGCAUUAGGGUUUGCAAGCAUUCAAGGGGUUUGUCAUUCAUGAUCAGACUAAUUAGGGUUUUCAAGCAUGAAGGAUGACAAAGGAGAGAUUGGUUGCAGGGUUUUCACGUGAAUACAGUCAUCAAAGUGGGUGUGGUUGGGGGGUUGAGAAAAGUGUACGUACUGCCAAAGAAAAGAGGAAAUAGAGACACAAACUCACAUGGGAAGAGGGACAGCUGAGUGGGUCCUGUGGGUAGAAUUGCUUGAUAGAUUCUUGUUAAUUAAUUUGGCUUGCACUCAUUGCUGUAUUUUUGAAACCUCUGGAAAUAAGACUUUAUAUUGGAAUGUCUCUAGCUAUAUUUUUGCUAGUUUAGGGUUUGAUCCUCCUCGUUUUUAAUGUGCUAAAACAUUAGGUUUUGCACAUGGAUGGAGAGACCCACCAAAAGUUCAGUUCAGUUGGGUUGUGGGAUAAAGAAGAAGAAGAAAAAAAAAACUCUGAAUUCAGUCAUCUUCAAGCUGUGAAUUCAGUCACUGGAUGUGAAUUAGGGUUAAGGCAGGGUCAGGAGUAGUAUUUAAGCAGAAAGCAUAAUACAAACAGAGCUGCUGUUAGCUUAGUUUCUAUUUUAGUUGAAAAUGAUCACCACCAAGUACAAUUAUUUUGACGAGAUGGUUUCUCAGCUUCUUUUCCUCUAACACACAAACAAUGGUCUUUUCAAUGGGGUGAUGAUUUGCCUCUCUUUUUUGUCACCUUGUCUUCUUUUCUAAAGAGACGUGUCGAUCGAUGAUCCAUACCUCCAGGCAAAGCUUCAAACUCACUCAUCGCCCAUUAAACCACUUUCCAAGGAGUCAUUCAACUUGAGCUACAAAUGAUUUCGUACAAUAUAGUUGUUAUAUGUCAUAAACACAUAUAUAAUAUACUCUAGAAACUUUUGUCUUCUAAAUUCUUUCCCUAUUCAACUUCAAGAUAAACAAGUAUGUACAUGAUUAUAAGAAACAAACAUCAACUUCGAGAUAAGCAAUUAUAUAGUUAGGAAGAAUCAGACAUUGAAAUUGAUGAUCGACUGUAAUAUCAUUUGUAAUAAUUUAUUUUUUCUGUAUAUGAUAUUAUCAUUCAUACGUUCAAUGAUUCUUACCAUAUUUUUAAAAUAUAUUUACAUGAUUAAGAGAAGUCUGCUACACAUAUAUUAUGAUGGUUAACAGGUUUUUUCCUUCUCAAUAUGAUUUUGAAACUCCAAUUUUUAAAGGUUGUAGAUGAGAUAAUGCGGUAAUUAAUAUUAUAUGUUAAUGAAGAUUAUCUUUGAUCAUGCAUUAUAAACCUAAGUUUUUUAAGCUCAUUGAUAGUAUAAAGCUUACGCAAAUUAAUCAAAGUUGACUAAGUCNNNNNNNNNNNNNNNNNNNNNNNNNNNNNNNNNNNNNNNNNNNNNNNNNNNNNNNNNNNNNNNNNNNNNNNNNNNNNNNNNNNNNNNNNNNNNNNNNNNNGGUUUGUCAUUCAUGAUCAGACUAAUUAGGGUUUUCAAGCAUGAAGGAUGACAAAGGAGAGAUUGGUUGCAGGGUUUUCACGUGAAUACAGUCAUCAAAGUGGGUGUGGUUGGGGGGUUGAGAAAAGUGUACGUACUGCCAAAGAAAAGAGGAAAUAGAGACACAAACUCACAUGGGAAGAGGGACAGCUGAGUGGGUCCUGUGGGUAGAAUUGCUUGAUAGAUUCUUGUUAAUUAAUUUGGCUUGCACUCAUUGCUGUAUUUUUGAAACCUCUGGAAAUAAGACUUUAUAUUGGAAUGUCUCUAGCUAUAUUUUUGCUAGUUUAGGGUUUGAUCCUCCUCGUUUUUAAUGUGCUAAAACAUUAGGUUUUGCACAUGGAUGGAGAGACCCACCAAAAGUUCAGUUCAGUUGGGUUGUGGGAUAAAGAAGAAGAAGAAAAAAAAAACUCUGAAUUCAGUCAUCUUCAAGCUGUGAAUUCAGUCAUUGGAUGUGAAUUAGGGUUAAGGCAGGGUCAGGAGUAGUAUUUAAGCAGAAAGCAUAAUACAAACAGAGCUGCUGUUAGCUUAGUUUCUAUUUUAGUUGAAAAUGAUCACCACCAAGUACAAUUAUUUUGACGAGAUGGUUUCUCAGCUUCUUUUCCUCUAACACACAAACAAUGGUCUUUUCAAUGGGGUGAUGAUUUGCCUCUCUUUUUUGUCACCUUGUCUUCUUUUCUAAAGAGACGUGUCGAUCGAUGAUCCAUACCUCCAGGCAAAGCUUCAAACUCACUCAUCGCCCAUUAAACCCCUUUCCAAGGAGUUAUUCAACUUGAGCUACAAAUGAUUUCAUACCAUAUAGUUGUUAUAUGUCAAGAACACAUAUAUAAUAUACUCUAUAAACUUUCGUCUUCUAAAUUCUUUCCCUAUUCAACUUCAAGAUAAACAAGUAUAUAUAUGAUUAUAAGAAACAAACAUCAACUUCGAGAUAAGCAAUUAUAUAAUUAGGAAGAAUCAGACAUUGAAAUUGAUGAUCGACUAUAAUAUCAUUUGUAAUAAUUUAUUUUUUCUGUAUAUGAUAUUAUCAUUCAUACGUUCAAUGGUUCUUACCAUAUUUUUAAAAUAUAUUUACAUGAUUAAGAGAAGUCCACUACACAUAUAUUAUGAUGGUUAACAAGUUUUUUCCUUCUCAAUAUGAUUUUGAAACUCCAAUUUUUAAAGGUUGUAGAUGAGAUAAUGCGGUAAUUAAUAUUAUAUGUUAAUGAAGAUUAUCUUUGAUCAUGCAUUAUAAACCUAAGUUUUUUAAGCUCAUUGAUCAUAUAAAGCUUAGGCAAAUUAAUCAAAGUUGACUAAGUCUUUCCAAAGAUGUUCAUGAGCCAUAGUCUCUAGACAACUCAGUGUCACAUCUUCAUUGAUUUUUUGUUUCCCCUCUAUGUUGAAUUUUGAGUUUGUACUUAAAAGUAAACCCUUUGUUUCAAAUGCUUGGGCCCUCAGUUAAUAAUGAGUGGGCAACUCUACUCUUAUUCAUUAUGCAUCAUCUGCCGUCCAUCUCUCACUUUCAAUACCAUAUUGCUCCACGGCUUAUUUUUUCUGCAACCAUGGAUCACUUUCACUUAUAGGGCAUGCAACAUGCCUCAAUUUGGCUCCAUAGACAUGAGUCAGACAGACUGUGUCACUGUGAAUGUACAACGGUGAUGAUUGAGCCAUUUUUUUUUUAGAAUUAUUGUUAAUUAUUUUCGAAAAUAGUUUUAAAAAACAGUAUUAACUUUGGUAAUAUUUGUAAAACAAAUUUUGAGAACUAAAAACAUUUUUAAUAUGUUUUAAAAACAACUUAUAUAUGUAGUAUUGUCGUAUUUUUAAUUAUUUUCUAUAUUUAUAUUAUUAUUUUUUAAAAAUGAUUUGCAGAAACAAGUGAAAAUAAAUUAAAGUAAUUAAAAAAAUAUUACCUGAAAACACUCUAUUUUUUAUUUUUAAGAAUAAAAAUCUAUUUUUCAAUUGCUAAACUUAUUUUCCUAUUUUAUGUUCUUGAGAGCAUAAAACUAUUUUAACAAACAAACCCAUAGCAUCCAUGGUUCCAUCCAUGGAUUUGUGGCCUCCAUGUACCCAUAAAUUUUCUUCAGUUUUUAGAACAUCAUCUCUCCCAAUUUUCAUACCAGAGAGCAAUGCUAGCUAGCUAUAUGCAGCUCCUCCACCAUGGGCAUGACCCAUCAGGCCAGGCACCCUCCUCAAAUUGGUAAUUGAAUUGAGUGAGAGCUUCAUUCACAAAUCAAGGAUAGAGGUGCCUCUGCAAUGGAGGGCUACCUGCCUAAUCUUUAUGUUUUAUGAUCAAAUCAAUGAGGAUCAAACAUCGAUUCCUAGUAGUGUUAAGAUUUUCUGAUCAACAAGACACCAUGCAGACAAAAUGUAGUACUAAUUUAAAAAGAAUGGGCAUUAGAUCAGGCUAAUGAAGACUUUCAACCAUCCUGAUCUUGUCAUAAAUUCAAUGAUAAUGAGUCCAAUCCUGGAUAUGAACCAUGAACAAUAAGGUAGAGACUAGAGUAAGGACAUGACCAUUGUAUCACAAGGCCUGAGUUUGGAUAUUACAUGAAAAUACCCCAUGAUACAAGGGAAAUUGCCCUUUGAGGGAGGGAAAGAAGUAGGGUUUUGUGUGGGUUUUAAGCUUUUUCAAACCAGGUACACAUCCAUGUUUUGUUUGGUAGAAUAUGCGCCACAUGAAAAAAAAUGGGAUUCUAUUUGAAAAUUGCUUUCAAAAAUGGUUUUUUAUUUUUCAGAAUAAAAAAUGGGAAAUCACAUUUAGUAAUUAUUAAACAUUAAAACAAAGUAUUUUCAGAAAACAUUUUUUAAUUAUUUUCACUUAUUUAUUAAGGGUUCUUUUAAAAAAUAAUUAUAAAAAUAUAAAGAAUGAUUAAAAAUAAAAAGCUACAUAUAAAAAUUAUUUUUAAAACAUAUUUAAAAAUAUAAAAAAUAAGUUAAAAGUAUUUCAGAUUUUCAAAUAGACUUUUGUUUUUUAAAAUUGUUCUAUACUAUUUUGUAAACCAAAAACCUUUUCAAAAACACUUUCCUUAACUUCAACCCCAGACUUGCUUCUUAAGUUUUUCAAAUUCAAAUGGGAUAUGGCACCACACCAUAGCAUAUGGUAUCCCCAACUUCAUAAAUACAAAAAUUGAUUGCUUCAGGCUUGGCUCAGACUCAGAAAGAGCUUUUCCUUUGUCUCUAAGCUUUCAAAUAAAUAUACUAUCCUUUUCAUUGCUGGGUUGUUGAGGAAUUCAAUGUCAUCUUCUUCAAAGACCACAUCCCUUCUGCUCACAUCUCCUCCUCUCCUAACAGACACAUCGAUCCCAUUUUCUUCACUUCUUGCUAAGCAUCUUGGAAGCGCCCUCUCCACGCCUCCAAACAACAAGUUGUGUACAAUCAGGUAUAGAUACACGAGAUAUUGAUACGGUUCAAUUAGAAAGCUGUGUUCUAAGUUAAGAACUCUGUUGUUUGAUUGAGCCGUGCCAAUAUCACGUCCUACUUCUCUCAAACUUUCACUAGCGUGUUGCAGCAGCAGCAAUUACAACAUUGAAUUAGUGUAAGCUUCUCUUUCAAGUAGACUGUCAGUAUAAUUUAGCUGUGAGAUCAGUUCGGAAAAGUCAUGUUAAGUCAUAGAUGUUGUUGAGUUCUCUUCCCUGCAGGUUCGAGUGUGCCAUUGCUUAAAUGCAUGCAUGAUGACUGUUCAUGAACCUAACACAUUCUUGCCAUUUUUCCCACUAGGGUAUCAUCAAGCAGAAGCCAUAUUUUCUUGCAGGACCCACCAAGGUUUGAAAUGAAAGACUCAGAUUUGAUAGAUGAUGAGGAUGGAAUAGAACAAAAAAACAAACUUUUUUGUACUGGUUUUACUUGUAAGUAAAGAUCCACCACUUUUUUGGCAAAGAGAGAUUGGUAGGGUAGGUGAUCAGAUUCCGAUCCUCUUGUUCUCAUUAGUGGAGUUGUGUUUCAGAAGACACAAGCCACACUUCCACAUAAUACAUUCAAAUUAUUUUAGGUUGGUGAUAUCAUAAGUUCAUAACUACAUGGUUAACCAAUUCCUUAAUCUAAAACCUAUUUCUUCAGAAGAGGAUCCAGGAUGGAACAAACUCUAGAUGUAAAGCCCUGAAAAGGGGAAAAAUUAAAAAGGGACAAACCAUUGUGAGGGAAGCACAUAUCAGAACUCAGAAGAUUGUCUGUAAACCCAGAUACAGAAAACUCUGUUUGUGAAGGCCUUAGAAGGGGGAAAAUGAAAUGGACAAACUGGGGUUAUAGGAAAGAAAAUGGUCAAAUUAGUGACAUGAUGGUGAUCCUGAGUGCCAUAAUCAAUUCAAACGGACUCUUCUACAACUGGGGUUGUAUUUGGAGGUCUGAUAAUGAAUGAGUUUAGAGCAGAAACCUGCCAUGGCCUGUUUAUAUGACCCAGAGAAACAGAAGGUUCUGACUUGCUAAAUUAGACCUCUGUAAGCAGAGAUUAAUACAGCUGAUGAAAAAUAGAGAUAUUAUGCUAGGGUUCCAUGAUUUGGAAGGGGUACUGGGGCUUAGCCAUAAGACAAGCUCUGAUUCAAUCAUGAAUACUUGAAAGCUCUAGAACUCUAUCAGUAAAUGAACUACAACGAGAAAUUCUCACACAACAGAUUUGCUGAAUGAAGCUUCAGGAUGCAGCAAGGAACUCAUUGAAAAAGAACAUCAACGCUUGCAAUUAUGAAGAAGGAAGAGAAUAAAGAACAAACAGGGAAUUAACCCAGUAAAGCCCAUUUGACAUAUAUUGUUUUAUGAAGCAAAAGGCAGCAAAGGCAGCCUACAAAGAUUGCUACUUUAUUAUAAAGAUCAUGGCCAUGGCAACUUACAAUAUAGUCCCCCCAACCAUUUAAAGAAUGGGUAGUGACAGUCACUUGCAUUCCUGUUGGCUGCUCUGGGGGGUUGGUCUCCUCAGCUAAAAUGGAGAUGGAUCCCCAGAAGCAAGGUUUCUUUCCUCUUUCACUAUAGUCUAAAUUUUGCGUAUUAAAUACACACUAUGAGCACAUACAAAGUUUCCAAAAGGGAAAAAAGUAAAAAGGGUCUGCUUUCUCAUGGAUAUCUUUCUUGUUUUGUGAAUCUGCGGGUCUCUCAGAAGGAAGUGCCCUUCCUGUGUUCAGACAUCUGUUUUGUCUCUCAGAAAACUGCACUCCACAAAGCAUUCUUGCCCUCACCACAACGCUGGUGAACAUCCUUCAUCCUCUCAGAAGAUCUGCAAAUACCACUGCAGCUCCAAUCAAAUGAAGCAACACAUACGUUGCCUGCCUCAGCCUUCCACUCGCAAUCUGCAUUAACAAGUAACAUCCUCAAUUUUAAAGUGCUCCCUUAUGAGCAGCAUUUUCAUUCAAUUUUUUCUUUUCUUUCUUUUUCCUUCCUCUUCUUCUUUUCUUUUAUUUUUUUCUUUUAAUCCAAUUCUUCUGGAGAAAUAGGUGGCAGAGCCAGCACCGGACAGCAUGUUACUGAUAGCACCACACAUUUACUGAUAUGGUGAUCAGACUUACCUGAGCAAAACUAAAUUUCCAUCAACUGGAAGGGCCAAAUAUUAACAGAGGUCCAUGGCCUAUGGUAGACUGAUUAUCCAUCAGUAUUAUUAAGGACUAUGGACUAAACCAAGUGGUAGGUUGCAACUUCACAUCCAUGUUCAUGAACUAGGGGAGCAAGACAAUGAAACACAUGAUUUAUUCUUUUUUUUUAUAGGUAUAUAUUUUAUUUCUUUUCUUCUUCAACUAAGACAUAUCACUAAGAAUUUUCACUUCCAACAAGGAAAAGGAAAAGAACAGAUACAAAUAACAUAUCCACACAGAAAGUACAAAUUAUCAGAUUGGUAAAUUGGUAGCUUGGUACCAUAAAAGAAACUAGGCAUUAACCUCAAUGCUCAGGUAUAGCAUAAUUGUUUUUCAAACUAGGCAACAUAUUUAGGAAUUUGAAGUACAGAGUCUCCUAAUAUGGAGUGAAUCCUACCCAAGUUGGAUGCUCAUAACAGUAUUUUAGGACCUGGCCAGCCCAAUAACUAUUUAAGAUAAUAGGAGUUGUGUAAUGCAACAAAAUUUAGGACUAUCCACAAAUAUUUCGAUAUUUACUAAUAUUUUUCAUCCAAUAAUGCUUCUUUGGGUACUCCAAAAAUCCACAACCUGAUCUAUCUGGAUGAAAGGUUUUACAGUUAACUGCCAUGUGAAUAUGGGUUUGAAAACACUAAUAUAGCAUACAGACUCUGUAAUCCUAGAGUCAUGAAAAAUGACCAUAUAUGUUUAUAUGAAUUGAAACAUUUAAUUUGUUACCCAAUAUAAGACUAAAUGCUUUUGAUGAAGAUACUUCAUAUAAGGUAAAAAAGAACAUGGUAUAAUAACAAUAAUAGUAAUUAUAAAUUUUACCAGGUGGGGUGCCACAACAUAGUCUCCGGUCAUCUAUAUGCUCCACGUCUAAUCCAAUAAACCAAGAUCCCAGUGAAACAUCUUCAUUGGCGUACUUAUGCAGCACAUGCCUGGAAUGAUGGAAGGCAAAAUCACCACCACAAGUAAAGGUUGAAAGGUCAUUUUAAGCAACAAUAUUAGCCAUGUUCAUCAUAAUCAUGUUAGAAAUUGGGCUAUUAAGUGGUCUGCAGCCUCUUCCAAGUCAAGAAGUAAACAUACAGCAUGGGAAGGAAAUAUGAUUUUAGUUGCUAUUCAACAAUUUUCAUUCAAUCAUUACAGGCUUAAGGUUUCAUCAAACAUUUUGCGCAAGGACAGUAGGAACUUACCGGUUGAUUGAUAUAUAAGUAGCCAAAUUUUUUGAAAUAGCAUAUAGUUGUCCUGUAGCAUGACGGAAAUACUUGUUUCCCUCCUCGCCAAAUUUCCAAUACUCUGGUUCAUGGUAUUUGACUCCCCUGUUUCAUUAAAUUAAUAUUUAGAAGCCAAAUAUAAUUGAUUCCUCAACCCUUAGAUGAUUGAAAAAUCUGACAAUCUUCUUACUUCUGAGCAAGGACAGGACCCGACUUCAUGCAGCCUAUAUACACCCGAGGUUGCAACCGAUAUUGAGCCAAAGUCAUUGCAAGUGUUCCUGAGGUAAAUUCAAAGCAGACUCCAAUAAGACAGAAUGGAAAUACUGUACGCAGCAAAAAUAACUCUCAUCCGUUCACUGCAAUUUCAGGCUAAAACCCAUUCAGAGGAGCAAUAAAUUGUUACAUGCAAUACUUAAAGCUUGGACAUGUGGAACAGCAUUCCGCCCUUGAGGCCUGGCUCAAGGUGGCAAGGGGUUAGGGUAGGGAUGUAGAAGGUUCCAAGUUCAAAUUCCAAUAGGGACAAAAAUAUUAAAAAGAAAAAAGCUACUUAUCAAAAAAGGAAAAAGAAAAAAAUUAAAAAGAAAGAAAGAAAGACAAAAAGAUGUGGAAGCAUUAUCAGGCUUUCCUCUAAAUUGAUGUUUUCACAUAUCAUCUUAAUUUCACUAGUCACCAUAAGUCAAAUAGAUGAGCUAGCACAAGCUAACAUUCAUAAUACCUACCACAUACGAUCUUGGGAGGCAUCAUGUUAAAAACGAAUUUUAUGGUUGUCAUAAUCAAUAUAACAAUGCAACUCUCCACGUGUGGACCCAUAAAAUUAUUUUCACACUCAGCACUCACAUAUAUGCACUUAUGCAAAUGUUGAAUGGUUGGAUUACACCACCACAUAACACAUUUGUGCAUAGGCAAUGGUGCCAGCAAUUAACUACUGGAAAUUGUUUAGCCUUUCAUUACUAUUACGAGUUAUUUUAAUUUCAGAAACAAUUUCAAAACCUUCAUCAUUAUGUUCCAUAAUCAUCCUUUCUACCAAAUUUUCACAAGUUUUCACUAUUGGAUUUUUUUAUUUUUUAUUUAUUUUUAUUAUUAUUAUUAUUUUUAAGUAUGCCACCAUGCUUGCAUUUCAUGUUUUCUUGAAAAAUCCAUAAGUUUUAAAAAUAUAUAUAUUCAAUAUGCCCUUCAAUAGUUUGAAGUUGUGUGCACAAAUUUAAGUAAUGUUUUCAUUUUUUUAUAAUAUUUUUCUAAUUUUCCUUAUUUAUUUUCUCUCUGCACAUUUAAGAACUAUGAUUAUAACAAUGAAAUCACAGAUAUUUGUCUCGAAUUUCCUUUUUAAUCUUUUUCUUGAAUAUGACAUUAAAAGUUCCCAACAUCUACCGAUUACAAUAUACAAGAUGAAGGAUAAAAUGUAGGAAAGGGGCAGAACACCUUUACCUAUAUUUACAUGAACAUCGUCAUCAACUUUGACAUAGAAAUCCGCAUCCCACAAAGCAACAGCAGUAGAAAAAUAUGUCUUUGUCUUGCCUGACAAUUCCAGGUAGCCCUCAACAUGAUCCUACUCACAUGAAAUGUAGAAAAACAAAUGGAGACCCAUUAAAUCCCUCAUUUUGAAUUUUAAGAAAAUAUCUGUGUUUCAUCCAGUAAAGUGUGAAAAGCAUACAUAAAGGAACAAGACAACAGCAUUACCAGUCUCAAGAAGUCUCCAUGCAUUCUUUCCUCUGCUUCAAUAGCUUUAUCAAGAAUACCACCAGAUGUCGAACUAGUGACAAAAGGCCAGUUGACAAAAUUCAUCAUAUUCACCAAAUCCACAUUGCAAAUCCCAAGAACUUACAAACAACUAUAAUAAUUGAGUGAACAUAUUCAUCAAAUCGCAAGUGUUUGAGGCUCAAUUCAUGAGGGUGGUCAUAGAAAAUAGAGUUAAGUGUGACACCCAAAAAACCUGACUAGAUCUUCUGCUAAUCAUGCAAGAGGAUCCCGUCCAGUCAGAUGACAUACAGUGAUACUGGUUUUUUCACCGUGUCAGCAUGUAUUGGUGCAUAGCUACUUAAAUAACCAUCGAUAAAAGAUGCAGAUUAAAUAACCUCAUGCUGACUUACUCAAUCUGCAUGAAAAUUUAGGCAAGUUCUCCGAGAAAACUUGAUAUGACAAAAUGGUAGAAAGUUUGGACCCCAUAAAACACCUUAUUGAAGAAUAGUCAAACCACAAGCAUUUCCAGCAUUCUAACAACGUUAACAUGGAAGCCGUGCUUUUAACAAAAACCUAUACAAAAUCUGUGAGUAUUUGGAUUCCACCCUUGGGUCACAUAUGUUUUCAAAGGUUAUCUUAAGCUUUCCAAAACUUGUUUUAACAAUGCCUCACUUCCAUCUUUUACUCAAGGCAACAUCAUUUAGUGGCCAUCUAGAUAUAACUGAAAAUGAAGGCAAAAGUAAUUCUUUUAGAGUAGCAGAAAUUUUUGUUCAAAUAAAAUAUAAGUGCUCUGUGUAUUCUUUCUCAUAGUCACUAAAGUCCUAAAUUUACCAUUUCAUCACUGUGUUAAUAAUUACUCCUUUUUCUUUAUACUAGACCUAAAUUCUAAACCUCAAUUAUAGAAUAUCGGACAUUAAUAUUCUAUGUGAAGACAGCAAAAUGCAUAAGCAAACAUUAGAGGAAAUGGCAUAGCUGAGCAUGUUAAAAUAAAUUCAGAAUGUGUAUGUCCUUAAAUAACAUAGCAUUGAAGAAGGGAAUAUUAAAUCCCACCUGUGACCAAUAACAAAGCGUAUGACAAUGCCCUUUUCUUCUUCCAGUUUCUUUCUCUUCUCACCUAGUUAUUUUUUCCACAGUAAAAUAAUCAACAAAAAUAGCAUAAGACAGGCAACAAAAAGUUGAAAAACAAGUAUGAGGCCAGUUUAUGCACCUUGUGGCAUCCAAGUUGCACGAACUGAAUCUCUUCGUUUCCGGCUACUAAAAGCUGUAUUGAUUCCUAUAACCAUUAAAUAUUUUCUUUUCUUUGUUGAUUCAGCGACAUUGUGGUCUUCUGAUAUGAGAGAAUCAUUCAAUACAGACUCUUGAGCUGCCCUUGCAGCAGCUAAUUCCAUCUCCAGAUUUGAAAUUGUUUUAUCUAGUGUUCUGCAUUCCAUAUAUGGCAAUAAACUUUCGGCUCAGAUUACCAGAUAGGCAAAUUCCUAAUAUAGGAGAAAUCCAGAGAAAACAAGCAUUGAUUUUUCGCUUACUGGACAGCAUGAUGGGUCUUUGAAACUUCCCCCAGAAUGUUGUUGGAUUUGUGCCUUAUCACCUUCUGAGUGAGGCAAAAAGAUUGAUGAAAAAUUAUAAUAAACAUGUCAAUAUUACCUAAAACAAUCAAGGCAAAUAUCUAACUAUGAGUUUGAAUGAAAAAUAACUAGAAGCCACCAGAGCUAAACAGACAAUCUUGUUGGUGGUCAUGAAAUCACAUUUACAAAGAAAUUUUUCUUGUAUAUCACUACAGCAGUUAUCAUUGGAAAAGUAUCAAGAAGCCAUUUUUAAGCUUUAGCAGAGAGGCAAAAUAAGUGCUUUUCAGAUGAGCUAAAGACCACCUCAGAGUUAUAAAGAAGCUGAUACCUAAAACGGAAUUCCCAAGCACUAUGCUUUCACCCUGAAUACUUUUUUAGGAAAGAAUACACCUGGGAUACCGGGCAUUAUUAUCCCAAGCAAAUACUAUUUGUAAUCAUGAAUUAAAAUACAAAUAUUUUGGAUGGAACUGCCCUUGGGUUUCAUAUAUAAACCAAAAGAAGCCAAACUAACAAGGCACAAUAUGAUUAAUAAUGUAAAGACUGCUAAUGAAGAAUAACAGAAGAUAUCUACACCAAAUAUGCCCUUAAAAGAUUUCAAAUGAUAUGCACACUAAAUAAGCCAGCAAAAUUUGUGUUAACAGUAACUGAAGAACAUUCUUCCAUGAAUUUGACCCUGUGUAAAAUGAGACUAGAAUGAAAGUGAAAUAUUUGGAUACAUACACUUGCUAGUUUUGGAGUACAACCCUCAGAAGCUAAUUUAAUUCUUUCAUCUUUAAUUCCAGUCAUCCUCUCUGUGUCUUUAGCUUCAAACGCUGCCCACAUCCUAAAACCAACAGUUCUUGAUUAAUAUGGAAAGGAAUAUACUAACACCAGCCACACCCACACGACCAUUUCCCAACCCAUAAAAAUUGCAAUAUAAGAAAAAUAUUUCGAGAUAAACAAGUUUUCUUUCAACAUAAUGAAGAUAAGCCACAGAUUGCCAAGCACAGCAUACACAGAAAUCUCCCCUUCCAAGAGAGAUAUGAGGAAGGUGAAACCAUAAAUAAAUAAAAUAAAUCAAGAAAAAUCAUCUUUCCCCAAAUGGAACAAUGUGAGGCACAUGCAUAAAGAAAUCCAAAUUUUGAUGACUGAAUGUAAACAGGAAAGAAAGUGCAAAAGGAUUGAAGUUGGCCCUAGUCUAAGAUAUCCAAAUUCAGAAAACCACAUGGAAAAGCACAACAAAAUUCAAAUAUACUCAUAAUAUUUGGAUCCAGGACCACUUCAAACAAGAAUCACUACCAAUCAAUGACCCCAAUUCACAAACACAAUUAUCAACCAAUUUUUUAGAAUCUCAUUCAACACCCAUUAAUAUCCAGAUGUAAAAGAUAGUUUCUAAGUAAACCGUGGAUUACUUUUUCUCGGAAAAAGGCACCUAUUCAUACACAUAUGGGAAAAAUGCAUUGAAGCAAACCAAAAGCCCCCCACAAGAAGAACAACCAUCACCAUCCAUUUGGUUCCCGAGAAAAGUGGGGAAAAGGGAAGAGAAAUAGAAUUUUGAAUUUAUGUUUUAUGCUAAGCCAAAUAAUUCAACUAAGCUCAGUCGAAUCAAGGUCUUGAUCCCAGGCUCCAAAUAAGGAAGAACCCAAUGUACAAAAAUUCUAACUUCAUUGUUUUUCUCCCAGCAUUUUCUCACCAACCAAACAGGAGCACAAAUAAAAGGAAAAGUUCCAAAUUCAAAGAAGAAACAGAGACCCAUUAAAGAAAUACCUGUUGGUGAAGAACAUGCCAGCACAGAAGCUGCUCAAGCAAAGCAAAAGCGCCAAAUUCCGAGAUACAACACUCUUAGAAGGAUACUCUGUUCCUCCCCUGUUUUUCAAAUACAUUUUUGGUCUUGUUCCCUCUCACUAACCUUAUACUCCCAAAAAAAAAAAUCCAACAAUUCAGAGACACCAAUCUGCAAAACCCAGAAACAAAUUUGGAAAUUUCACCACCAAAGAUCAAAUUUUUACGUUCUCUCCCACUCAAUCCUUGUCCCUCUCUCACCUCCCCUGCAUUGGAGUGAGAAGAGUGCAGACCCACCAACCGCCCUCUCUUAAUAUUCCAAAAUACUGAACCGUCCUUCAACAAACGUUUCCCAUAAACUUAAAUUUACUGGAAAGAAAAACAAAUAAAGGAACAGUAACAGUUCCAUGUAGAGGUUGGAUCUGUUCAGUUUUCUGUUGAACUUUAAUGGAUUCAAUUUCAUUUCCAUUUUAAAUUCCAAGUAAUUGUAGAGUUUUCCUUCCAUUAUUUUUAAAAAUUAUGUAACUUUAAUUUGAAAAAUCAAUAAUAAAUACAUAUGUUUCAAAUAUUAGUUAUUAAUUUGCUAGGAUUCAAUUAACAGUUUGCUCUUUUAAUGUUUCAGAGGGAGUUUUAUUUUGGUAUUGAAGUUAAUGCAGCAUAACUGUUCUUUCUUUCCUUCAGGUAUUUGCCUAUGCUUUUUUUCUUUUCUUUUUCUUUUUUUUAUUUUUUCCUUGUUUUCAUUUUUUCAUUUUUUUUCUUUUGGUCUCAUUUCUUCUCCUGGAAGCACCACCAUUUGAAUUUUGAAAUCAGUAGACACCAAUCUUGUAAAGAAAGAAUCUGACAAAUUUAUAUGCAUACAAAAAGGGUGAUCAAUUCUUUUUUGUUGUUUUGCCUUUUUUGAUUCAAAAGGAGAAGCCCAUUUUGAAGUUUGAACUUUAAGUAUCAGCCCAAGUCCUUACUGCAAUCUGAUUCAGGAGGUUUGAGCUUUUAAGUCUAGAAACCAUGCUUGAAAUAUGGGUGCUCAGCUUGGUCCGAGGACCAUGCAUCAAGGGCCUGGUUAUAAGAGAGUGGCCAGUGACCUUGGCAUUGUGUUCAACAAACUGGUUGUGCUGGGUUAACCCAGACCCGGCCUAAACCCGGUCUCUGUGCAGCUCAAAACCCAGCAAGCUGAUAAGGCCAUCUGGCUUGACUCUUCUUGGAUCCUAUUCAAUUGAUCUGCCCACUGCAAAUUUGCACCAUAUCAGCAGAAAAUGUUCAAUAAGCCUUGCCACAAUCACAAUAAUUUCAUUUCACUAUAGAAUGUCCACUAGUUUUCAAUUAAAUAAAACAUCAGCUUCACAUGUAUGAAUUUUGAAGAGAUGGAUUCUUGAUGAGGCAUAGAUAAUAAGUCCUGAUGAUAAACAAGUAGAGAGGUGGUUUCAGUAUCUUGUACACAGGCAAUAAAAAGCCAAGGUCGCAUCAAGAAAGAAAAAGAAACUGAACUUGACCUUGAAAGGGUCAGCUGGAGGACCAUUAUAUGGGAAUAUAAUGCAUACCGAUUCGGAUCACAACAGGGGAUUCUACCUGAAAACCAGAACAAGUUGCACUGAAUUGUAUUGUAUUGUAUUGUAUUGUGCCUUGGCAGGUCUUGAUUCUGCUGUUCGUUCCUAUAACUUUUGGAGGAUGCUCACACCAUGAUCCUAAUAGUAGUGGGGAGGGAAAGGUACAGGGAAUCUUUCACCAAAAUCAUGGUUAUUCUUGUUGGGAAAAGGGGGUAAAACCAACCUUCCUGGUGGAGCACAAGGAUCAUUGAAUUGAAUUAUAGUAUUCAAGAAAUAGAUACAAAGCAAAAGGAGAACUGGUCCCAGGAGGGGAAUUGGGAGGAUUCUACUUUUGAACUACUAAUUCUAUACCAAUGGUAUCGCCUUUUGGAGGAAAGAAGUGUAGAUAAUUUUGAAAGCUUUUGGCCUCCAUUUGCAUCUUCUAGAGAACCAGUUAAAGAAAAUGCACCCUCCUAAAGAACUUUUGCUUAGACUCUCAUGUUCAGCUUACUUGGGUAUACCAGGGAUGUAUUGUGUCCUUAUAACCCUACUCCAUCAACCUUUUAGAGUAGGUUGCAAUCUAAGAAAUUAGAGGUUUUCAUUGUACCUUUUGUAUCUCACAUGAUUGUGUGUUUAUAUAUUCCUCUAGAGUGGUGAUGGAAGAACUUUGUUAACCUAGCUAAUACUGAGACUCUGCUAGUCACCUAAAUCUUUGCUGUUUUUGUGUUUGAUUUUUUUUUUUCCCAUUUGUUCACUAGUUGGGCAUAGUUUCUAAUGAAGAAAGUAAUUAAUAACAAAAUCAAUAACUUCCUAAUGAGAAUGUUGUUCAAAUACAACCUAUUUUCACAUGGAGGCUAAGUACAACCUGUGUAGAGUUACUAGAGGAUUUGAAUAUCCCCACUUGAGGAAGGAUCAGGAAAAUAAAUGUCAGCCAGGGAGAUCACACAAUCAUUUAAGACAAUAGAUUUUCCUAUAAGCUAGUAACAGUAUUCUGAGUAUCCAUCAUGUAGAAUGAUACUACAUUGUGUAUUACUUGCUAAUUUAGCGUGUCAUCUGGUGUCAAAGUCCUGCUCAAAACUUCUAUAAAUAGAAAGAUACAUAAGACCACAAAUAUUCCUACAACAAACUUCUUAAUUGUCUCAUAGUAUGAUACUUGAUCACCUACAAUGACAUUCUUAAUUGUCAUAUAGUAUGUACUAGAUCACGUGUUGCACGCAAACAAUGUGCAUACAUAUGACUGCUAAGCCCUCCUCACAUCCUGAGAGACUAGCAGAGACUGAAUUCCAAUGAUUGAAUGGGAUUUGCUAGACAGAAAGAUACUCCUGGGAGCAGUAUUCUGAACAUUUGGCCAACAAUCUGCCACUAAUUGCCCACUCCUGCUCAAAACCUAUAUAACCAAAGUUGGGAGAGAGACUGGGCAGGAAAGUGAAGUAUCAAGGGUCAAGAAUUUGAUAGGAUUCAAUCAAGAAAGAUAUCCCUAAUGGCAAAUUUCUGACUAUUUGGACCACAUAAUCUGACACAGGAGCAUGUGUUGCUUGCAGAUGAGGGUAUGUUGGGAUUGAGAGGCAUAUACUCCUAACAAGAAAAUUCCAAUAUUAGCACAAGGGGGUGUGCAGGGAGGAGAUGAAUACAUAUAUGGCAUCCCUGCAUAAAGAAAUGGGCUCUACUUUAGUUAGUAUCUAGAGGGAGCAUCCUAAGAGCAAGAAGCAAGUGAUUGGGGUCAACUUGGGAAUGGAGGGUCCCUUAUGAUGUAACAUUUGGAUGCUAUCUAACUUGUUUCUCACCCAACAAAAAUAAAGUAAUAAAUGAAUCAAACAAACAGGUAUGAAACUACUAAAAAUAACCAAGAAUAGUUGCAGAAAAGCAGCCAAAAAGCAGAGAACAAGACAUGAAGACACUUACCAAAAAGACCUGAAGAUUAACCAAUUACUUUUUUCAUAUCCCCAGUUUCACUUACAUAGGUGCAAUUUCCAAUCAACCCAACCAAAACACAAGUCCUAACAGACAAAAAUCUCUGAGGCUGUUCUUCAUUUUUUUUUCACUAUUUCCAAACAGCACCAAGAAAAGGCAGUUGUGACUGCUUUUAGAGAGACUCUGUUCUAAUCCUAGGUCCACCACCCCACCUGACUAACAGUAAAGCUGAAUGUGAAAAAGAAAUUGAAAAAGAUUACAUAGGAACAGAACAGAGAACGAUGGUGGUGGAGGUGGGUGCUGGGCUGAUAAAAGACACUACUCUAAGAACCCAGUUUUUGUCAGAACAGCAUUCCUCACUUUGCUGAGAUCUCUUCCUUUGAGUGUCCUUCCAACCCCUUCACAGACAGAGAAGGACGAAAUCUGACUGCUUGCAAGCUUCCUAGCAAUCCAUUCAUGUGGAGGGACUAUGUCAUCAUCUCCAUCAUCAUCAUCAUCAUCAUCAACAACACAUAUUUGAUGAGUGUUGCCAGCAUCAUUGACAUCUUCCACACCAUCAACCCAUGGCAUAGCCCUUGAGUUCUUUCUGUAAAUCUUUGACCAGUCAGGGAUGUUCAUUGGAGCUGAUGAGUGUUGAACCAGCUUGGCUUCAUGGGAAGGAGUGUUGUUGCCUCUUCUGAUCCCUCUUGGAGCAGUGGGUAGGCGCCAUGCAGAAGACGAAGAAGAAGAUGAAGAACCAGAGGAGUAAUCCUUGGAUUUCCUCAUUAUAGGACUUGAAUCUUCUCUGUCCUUCACAACAGCCCACACAUCUUCUUCAUCAAAAUCUUCAUCUCUCAUUGAUCUACCCCCACCACCACUGCUAUUCCCUAUGGCAGCAUGCCUAUUAGCCAUGGCUGAUUGCUCCAAACCCCACAAAAUUGAAAUGGGUGCGCAGAGAGAGGAGAGAGAAAAGAGAUAGGACUGAGCAACAGAAUCACUUCCUGCAAUAUAAGUAGAUGAAAAACAAAUGGGUUUCUUUUUUUUUUUUGGAGUGUGGCUUUGUUAGUGUGUUCUUGGGAAUCAAAAAGGAAAAGGGGUGUAAGAGAAUAAGGAGGAAUCUACCUUGCCUUUGUUUCAAUACCCUCCAAAAAGAACCAGUGUUUCAAAAUUAUCUCAAGAAUAAAAACCAAUCAGAAGUUAAGAAAGAGAAGCUGUGAAAACCCUUUUCCGCGGCUCUGGAAACCUCCAAACAAGCUCACAGACUUCGAGGGUCUAAAAAUGGUACUCUGCAGAAAUCAAUGAGAAAAAGACAACAACAAUAGAUGUUUAUGAAUAUGAGAUGUGUUUUUUUUGGGUAGCCAUCAUUGCCAGAAAAGUAAGGGUAAUUAGGUUUUUUUAAUAAGAAUCUCAGUUUUCUACUCUUUCCAACCCCUCCACUUAGAAAUGGUCAUCGGAGAAAUGGUCACCGGAAGGUGAGUUUAAUACAAAAAUCUAUGAACAAUAAAUAAAAGAAGAAGAAGAAAGAAAGGAGCAAGAAUAUCAAGAAUAAUAGGCCAAGGAGCCCAUUGAUCAACCCCGAACACCACUUCUUUCUCCUCCUUUGGAAACCCUUCUGUAUCCAGAUACUUCUCGAGAAAAGGUUCCUCCCAAUUUUUUCCAAAAACCAGAGUUUUUGAUUGGAAAGGUAAACAGAAAUUAUUGGUCUGACAAAACUCCUCAGAGUUCCGUAUCCUUAUCCAACUCCCCAAGUCCCAAGUCGCAACAACUCAGCCUAGUUAGCUCAUUUGGCUGUGCCUGUCACCACCACAGAGACAGCACAACGAGACAGAGAAAGAGAAACAACUCUCCACUUUCUCUCUGCACUCACUCUCUCCACCCCCCCAUCUUUUCUCUUCUCUGAACCAACUUUUCUUUAAGCGGGGUGCCUUGGAGCAGGCGCUCAUGUAGUAAAAGCACUUCGUUCACUGGUACACAUUGAGAUCUAUGGUGGGUGUUUGUGAUUUAACUGUGACUGAACUCCUAUCUAUUGCUUCAUUCUUCAAUGCUUCCUGGGUUUUGGGGAUCAUUGCAGAUAACGUGAAUGUAGAGUAGAAGACUAGGGAGAGAGAGAGACAGAGAGAUGGGUGUGUGAAUGUGGGUGCAAUUAUAUGUCAGGGUGGUAGACUGGUAGGGUGAGGUCUUCUCAAUUUCAUAUCAGGAGGGUCCACCACACAGAGACACAAAGGGUGGCCUGUGGGUCAACGUCCUUCCCUCCCCUCCCCUCCCCUCCCCUCCCCUUCCCAUAGGGUCCAUGCAGUGAUUGUUCAUGGCAAUUGGCAUUCACCCACCCAGUGAAGUAGAAAAUAUUGAUUCAUGCUUGGACUUCUUCCGGCAAAACCCAUUUCAGACUCUCAUUUUCUUGCAAUGAUUAUCUCUAUCUUGACCACUUUACCUCUAAAAUCNNNNNNNNNNNNNNNNNNNNNNNNNNNNNNNNNNNNNNNNNNNNNNNNNNNNNNNNNNNNNNNNNNNNNNNNNNNNNNNNNNNNNNNNNNNNNNNNNNNNNNNNNCACAGCCCCACAUAGUCGCAAAACAAUCAUUUCCACAAGUGUUGGUCGCUUCAAUGCCCACCCAAAACAAGCAAUUUUUGUGGCUGUGAAGGGAAAAAUGAACUUCCCCACUCGGAUUCUUCUCCAGUACUUAGUCCUGAUUAGCUGCAAUGUAUAUGAUCUAGAACUGUUUCAAAGCAUCAUACAAGUUUAACUUGGAGAUGAAUGAAAAGUGAAUUUGCCCACCUACCUGUGGUCCAAGACAUGAGUGCAUUUCCAAAUGGUUGUUCCAUAGAGCAGUUAAAGGUGACAAAAGUGUGUUUGAUUAGAAGGACAGUUUGGUAGAAGUAGUAGAGGAUGGAAGUGAAAGGGAGUAAAAACAUUUAGCAAACCGUUAGUUUGAAUAUGGAGGUUGAUAUCAUCAGAAUGACUCCAAAAGAUUAUGAUAUUCCAUAAACAGCCUGCAAAAUUAUGUGUUUCUUCUUUGCCUACUAUAACAUGGACUACUGAUAGUUUCUGCAUAUGAAUAUAGUUACAAGAUGUGCCUUUCAGGGUUCAGUUUAGGCAUCCAUACUACAAAAAGCUUCAGAUUUCAGGGCUUAAUUGAAAAAAAGAAAGAAGUAAAAACCCUAAAGAAUUUUAAAGAGAUUUUACAACAAACUCUUCCACCUGAGCCACAGAUUUGUCACAGGAAACAAUCAGAAAUGUUAUCACCACUUCCAGCUUAGUUUGAAUCUUCAGUGAAUAUUGGAACUUCAGUUGAACUCCUGCUAUGGGGCUUGGAAUAACCAUAUGAUCUAAAUUAUAAAAAGAAUGCAACUUUUCUUCUAAACUUCUUAUUUACAGGAGGGAGGGCAAAGGAAAAAAAAAGAAUUAGAUCUCUGUGUUUUCCUUUUCCCAUCUUUUAUUGUUCCUGUUUCACAGUUGACAAAUUCUUGUCCAGUGCAAUUGAUAUUUGUGUAAUCAAUUUAUGCUACACAGAAAGGAUGAGAGCUCUACAAAUGAUGUAAUCUUACAUUAUUAAGACGGGAAAAUUAAACUGAGCUAUCAAUAUAUGCAGCUAAUUGGGAUUUGGAUGAGCAAAAUUCAAUCAGGGCGUGUCACUAAACCUGUACAGGAGGUGGGGCGCAAUUGGGUCACACCUUACUCUCCAGGCCUAAUCAGUUUCUUGAUUUCACUUGCGAGCUGCAUGGUAGAGCUCCAUGUAGUCAAGAGCAGGCCGGUUCCAAGACCAGUCUUGCUCCAUCACCCGCUUGCAUAAUGAGUUAAACCAAUCCCGGCCAUCAUACCAAGCAGAGAUUGCUCUGAAAAAAAAGAUACAAAAAAUCAUUUCAUAUCAAGUCCUUUCCACUAAUAAACAUAUGAUGUACAAGAGAAAGAGAGACAGCACAUGGCAGUCCAAAAUAUUUUAAUGAGAACAAAUCUGAAGUUAACAGAUGACCUCAAUAUUAAGCCCUGUCCCUCUUCUCGAUCCUCUGCCACUUUUUAAAAUGGCCAAGGGGGAAGUGAUAGGACUGGAAAACACAAGAGAGUUUAAGUUGCACUCAUGACUGGAACCCACAAAAAAGAGGGUAGCUUCUAAUUGCUAGGGUGUCACAUGCACUGAUUAUCACUAGCUCAUCACUUGAGGGGUCCAGUUAUAUGGUACUUCUUUAAUUAUUUAAAGAUUAGGACAGGAAACAGUGGAUCAAAGAAAUUGAAAAUGACUAAAGAAAACACUACCUUUACCUAAUUGAUUAGACAAAGCAUACAUCCACUCACCUAUUGAGAGCAUAAUCAACACCUACAGGAUCGGCUCCAUCAAAAUUGAAUCCAUUUGGUUCAAGGCCUUGUGCUUGUGCUCUCUCUUUAUCAUGGUCAACAUCAAAUACAGUAUCAUAAAGUCCUAUAGGAAGCAAAUGAGCACAAAUGAAUUGCCAAGUACAUUGUCAGUGCCAAGGACUUAAAAUAUUACUCACUCCAGCUUAAUAUAAGCAAGAAGAAUGACAUGACAGAUACAUUUUCAUAGGGAAGGCAAGUUCAAUUUCCAUAAACUACACAAUUGUCAGGUAGAAGAAAAUGCUGAAUGCAAAUAUGCUUACCCCCAACACACAAAAACAUAACCACAGAUAUGCUUAGACAGAUAAACAGAUGCAUGUAAGUAAUGAACAUGGAAAGUGACAAAGAUAGAAUUCCCACUCAGACCCAAGACAAGAUCUCUAGUAACCACUAGAUUCCAUAUGUCAUGCCCAGGACACCCAGCAGCAAGUAUUCAAAAAAGAGAACAAAGCCUAAGCGACUAUUGACAAAUUGAAGAUUCAUGAAGUAAAAGCACAAUCUCGUUCUAAAAAGGGAGGUUGAACACUUCAAAAAUCUGAGUAUAUUCCAGAUGCGUAGAUCAAAAUGCAAAGAAGUGCAAAAGGGCUCUUUUCAACCUAGCAGCCAUACUUUUCCCAAAACUCAAUUUGCAAAGGCAAAUGAAGAUUCGACCUCUUUCUUGAUUAACAGGAAAAUAUAUUAAUUCACUUUAACUGUUGCAUCAUAUAGAACUGUGCUUCAAUUUCUUGCUGUCAAAGUAUAUGUUCAACCCCAACACAGAAAAAAAGGCAGUUGAAGCAAACAAAUGAUUUUGGAAAAAGACAGUCAUUUCUAUCACAACCCUUUCCCUACUCUAUCAUGGCCCUAAUUUGCCAUAACCGUGUAAGAGAACAUUCACAUGAUAAAUGUCCAGCACUUGAGACAGCAGAUAUGAACAGUUAAUCCUUACCACUGAUAACAAUCAAAAGAUAUCUACUCACCUCCAGUUUUACGAACCACAGGUAUUGAACCAUAUCUCAUUGCUGUGAGUUGGGUAAGUCCACAUGGCUCAAAAAUUGAAGGAACUAGAAUGAAAUCGGCACCAGCAUAAAUCUACAAUAUUAUCCAAAUGGGUAAGUUACUACCAGGUUUGUACCACAGAUGCAACCAGGGAUUAUGUAUCUGAGAGUUAUAGAAUUCAAGAUGCAUGAGAGAAUACCAAGUGUGAAAGAGGCUCAUCAUAGGUCAAGCAAAGUCGAGCACGGUCACCAUGUGAAGAAUGCAACUGAUUCGCCAAAUUAACAAAAUCAUUUUGAAUACGAGGAUCUGGAGCUGAACCUAACAAUACAACCUGCCAUCAUAUUUUGUAUCUUUAGAGGAUGGAAAUGGUAUAGGAUUCAGCUCUUAAAAUGCACCAGUUUGAACUAUACAGUUGAGUUAGCUUAAAUGAUCGACAUUGAGCAUAAAAGGCAUGAUUCACACACAGAGAGGAGAGAGAGAGCAAAUGUACAUUUCAUGGAAAUAUAAGUUAGAAUUCUUAGGUUAAGUCCCGUCCUACUCAUUCCCAGGUGCUGAGUGGAUAAUCUAGGAUGAAUAUAAUGUGCAUGUAUAUAUGUCCAUAACCACCCUUGGAAAAGAGGAGAGAGAGAGAGAGAACCUGUCCAUUGCGUUCUAAGGUGCGCCAAAUGGCAUGCUUGAUGAGGUGGAUUCCUUUCUGAUGAGUUAAGCGAGUAAUAAUUCCUACCAAAGGGAAAUCAGAUUUUUUCAAACCAAGCCUUUGUUGUAAGGCUUCCUUGGCAGCCCUUUUGCCUUCAACAACAUUGUCUGAAAUGUAAGGUACCUAGAAAAAUAUGAGACAUGUAUUAGCCCCAGUUGCCAAGGCAUCUGACAAUGGAAGUGAACAAAAGCUCCAAAAUGUAUUCAAUGAUGCUAAGUUUAUAAUCAGACACAAAGGAAAAUAAAUGCAUUUUGUUCCAUGUCAAACCUUCAACAGCAGUUGCAAAAUCACAGAUGCCAUGCAGCAUAUUGAGAAGUAUAGCCCAAUGAAAACUAUUCAAAAUCACAAUAAAAGAACUUUGUGUUCCAAUGUUAAGAAAAAUAAACCAAUUAACUACCUCGUUCCAAUAAAUUUGUUGCUUAAAAAACAUAGAGAUUAGAAUGGUAAAUUGAGAACCACUAAACACUUAUAAAACAAAGCAAUAGUAUGAGUGAAGUGCUUCAAUAUUAUUGAUUUUGUGAUCAUAUAUAGGUUAAAACCUCCCUAUAAUCUUUUCUUACUAGAAAUAUAAUGGUUGGUUAAUUAGUUUAUGAAAAUUAAUGAUAGGCAUCUCCAUUUACAAUACAUUUACGCCAAGAACUGACUUAAAUUUUAUGUUGAUUAUGUGAACCAGAAAGAAAAGUUCAACAAGAGAUCACACAGAAAAUGUUGCUUCUUGGCCCAAAAAUUUUAGGUGAUGAAAACAGAUCAAAGACGGUCAUUAUCUUAGACCUCUGUUAAUAUGUUCUAAUGAUAAGGGUGUGAAUGAAGACUCCUAAAUUGUAAUUAAUUGCUCUGCUUUUGAGUGACAACUUUACUCUCUUUUUUAAAAAAGAAAAAAAAAUUCUAAAUUCGCCAUUGAAUUUCAUCUUAAUAGCAAACUCCUACCACAUCAAUACUCCUUUACAAGUUAACACAGUCCUUUUGCCCAGCCUUUUUCCAGGGCCAAGUACCUUAGCAAGAAAAAAAAAGUUUUGUAGUUUUCCAGAGGAUGAAGGAAGUUUUCAGCAAGUAUUAGCAAUAUGAUCAAUUAGAGUAUAUCAUAUGAAGCAUAAAUCUACAGAAGCAAUGCCCAUCAAAUUCUAAAUUUAAAAAGGUAUGAAGAUGUCAUAGUUUAAUUCCAAGUAUAAUAAGAAAAAGAAAGAAGCUUCAAGGGUCUGCUACUGAUUGUAAUCCUAUUCUACUGAAGUUUAAUAAGCCCAAUUUAGUAGUAGAUGGAGAUUAUUCUUUCUUUUAGUAUUCUAUUUAUGCAAACAUAAAUUAUAGUAUGUUGUAUAAUUUGUAGAUGACAAAACAUGAGGGUAAGACAGCUCCAAGUUAAGGAUUUCAACUUCAACUACAGUAAUCUACUUACAGGAAUAAACUUAUCGUUGUAUGGGUCCCAUAUAUCUAGGUCAAUUCCAUUUAAUAUACCAUGGAACUUGUACAGAUGAGGAGCAAUUGCAGGAUUCCCAGAAACCUCUCUUGAAUACGUGUGGGAUACCUGCAGAUAUGAACAUUCAGAAUUAAGGUGCUGCAAUGGCCAUAUAUGAAAGAGAGCACAGAUUAUUGCAAAAAAAUCGCGUAUGGUUUCUCCUUUUUGAUAUCAGCAAUUUCUUCAAUGGCAUACUAAAUUGAUACAAUGGAAAAGCAUGAAAUCUAAAUUGACUUCCAAAUGGAACAGAGAGGGCAUUAUUGAUUCCACUGAUUUCUAUGCAUCAAUGGUUCAGAAGUCUUACUUGUCUCAGGUUACUAGGAGUUUGAGCCAAAUUAUCUCAAAGGUAAAGAGUCCCCUACAAAUAUCAUCCUCCAAAAAUGCAACCUAGAGUUUUCAUCUAUAAUAAAUUUAACCUUUUCUUUUUCUUUUUCUUUCUUUUUUUUUUAUUAAUUAAAAGAGUUCUAUCUAGACAAGUCCAGCCAACAAUGUGAAAAUUUCAAAAAUGUUACCUUCACACAAUCCUAAUUUCUUAAGAACUCAAAGGUCCUACUUUUUCAUCCAGUUUCAAGAAUUCUCAGUAAUUUUUUUUUCUCAUCUACCAUUGUUCUAUAGUUUUAUCAAGACGCUAUGCGGAUACUGUAACAAAAAAAUAAAAAAAAUAAAGCAUAUUAAAGCAUCAUAACAUGCAUUAUGACUAACAUGCAAACCCAUCCUAAGAAUAAAUAAAUCAAUAAUCAAUAAGAAAAUACAAUAAUUUGAAAUAAAAAAUAAAGAACAAGUUUGAAAUUCAGUGAUUAAGGUAAACAUAUUAAUCUAACUUCUUAACAAAGAAGAUGCCAAUAAAAGUAACUUGUUAAAGCAUAUAUCAAGUAAAAAAUAUAUAUAAAUUAUUGAAAAGAGCAACCAAGAAACAAACAUAAAAACAAAAUUGAAUCGCUGUAAAUACUAAGAAUAAUAUUUAUUGAAGGAAAAUGGUAUGUACUAACAGUUGUAGCCUUGUCUGUGUAAACCAUUGCUUUCGCAAUAAGGGGUGCCCCAAAUUCAAGGUUAUGUAUUGUAAAGACAACCCGAGCUUUACUAAGUCCAUAAUGCUUAUAAUGGUCCUUAAACAACCACGAAACUGGAGCGCUAGACCAAUCAUGGCAAUGAAUAAUAUCCUGCCCAGCAUAAAGCACUAGUCAGAAUGGAUACACUUAAUAGGAACAUACUAACAUAAUAAAUGAAAAUUACAACCAAAAAAAAAAAUUGGUCUUCUGUGUGUAUAUUAGUAUGACAAUAUUCUAAACAGAUCUUUAUUGUUAUGCUUAAUUAGACCCAAAAAUGAAAAAUUUAUUUGAUGAGUUGGAGCACUUGUAAACAUAAUAAUAUACAUCAAGAUGUAGAAACGUGAAGUUUUACCACUGAAGCUAGAACAUGAAUGAGUUAGCGGAAUAGUGUUAAAAAGCAAUAACUUGAUAAAUGAGUCAAAUUAUUAAACUUACGGGAUGAAAUCCACUUUGGAGCAGAAAUUCAAGGGCAGCAUGACAAAAGAAACCAAAUCUUUCCCCGUCAUUCCUACACCCAUAUAUGCAACCUGCCGAAAAAAAUCUGCAAGGGAAAAUGCAUCAAGAAAUUUUCUAUAGAGGAUUUUGCUGCAACCAACAGCUGAAUUUUGUAAAGAACAGAAUGGCAGACAAUCAUGAAUACAUGUUCAAAUCCAGUGUUACACAGAUUAAAUAUCCAGAAUUCAGUUCUCCAUGCUAAAUUGCAACUACUGAGACAAGAAAAAGGUCUAUGCCAAGGCAUCAAUAAUGGAACUUUAGUAGAAGUUAUACCUGAAUGGAACUAGGGAAAAGAUUUUUACAAUCCAAAUAGAAACAAUUUUGAGUCUUUGACAAUUUAAAUUUCAGAGCUGUAACACCAGCCACAACAAAGGCAAUCAGUAGAAGUUAUACCUGAGUGGAACUGGUGAUAAAUAUUAAUACAAUCCAAAUAGAAACAAUUUUGAUUCUUUGACAAUUUUGAAUUCAGAGCUGUAAGACCAGCCACAACAAAGCCACUAUACAAAGUUUCUUGUGAUUUAUGGAUCAUUUGGAAACCAUCAGGUACAUGACUUGCACACAAUCUAUAAGUUAGAUGUUAUUAGAUUCAAACUCAUCUCAGUUAUGAUUAUUACUGUUAUUCAACAUGUACAAAAACAAAAUUUUCCAGUUCAGAACUUAGUUGCGCAUCACAUAUGGGAAAAGAAUAAUUUAGGAGAUGCUCUUAAGGUUUCAAACUGUGAAUUCCACAAACCUCAGGGAGAAGCUGCUGUGAUCCACCAAAUAAUUCACAGCACAAAAUUUCAAUGGUCUCAAAGGCAUAACUAAGAGAAUGUGUACAAAUAUUCUUUAAGGGUGGAUUGAGUUGGAGUUUUUUGCCAAGCAUGAUAGUCCAAACCUCCCAAAAGGCAAAGAUGGGGGUGGGACUGAGAACUACCACAGUUUAACAUGUAAUAUUUGAAGGAUGUCAAUCCAGAAUGUCAGAAUCAUUUUGAACGCAGACAUCAGAAUUCACUCUUUGGCGGUCAAGAUCUCAAAGGCGUACCUCAGAGAACAUGUACAACCAAGGAUUCUUCAAGGAUUAAUCAGAUCAUAAUUUUCAGUCAUGCACAACAAUCCAAGCCUCCCAGAAUCAAAAUGGGAGUGAAGUGGAGAACUACCUCAUCAUGAUUAGGGCAUGCAUUUAUGUGAGCCAUGCAAUGCCUGAAAGAAACAAUUAAAGAAUGGUUUUGGCAUGAAUUUAUUUGGUUAUGCAACACCCAAAAGAAACAAUAAAACAAUGAUUUGAGCAUGAAUUUAUUUGUGCAUGCAAUGCCUGGAAGAAACAAUAAAGAGACUGGUUUAAUCUUGCAAAUGGAUUGAAUUUAACUACUAGAGCAGUUGUGAUUAAAAUCAAGGUGCUUAGGUUGACUAUUGGUAAUUGAACAAAUGAAAAAUAUUUGUAACUGAACUGAACAACUGAAGCACCAAAACCAUGUCAUUAAGCAAGUAAAGAACAUAGAAGGAAACAAAGAACCAAUAAGAGGAUGGUUCAGAGAUGUAGUUAACUGAAAUAUAUGCAUGAACAGUAAAAAUGAGAUACAAAUUCCUACCAAAAUAAUAAUGGCAUGUCUAAAAGGUGUAACAGAACUACUGGAUUACCCAUUUUGAGGCUCUAAAAAGUAAACAGAAAGGCCUUCCACUUUUCCAAACCAAACUUUUAUUUCAGUUCCACCCCAGAAAUAGCAUCUCUUAUACUGAAAGUCCUUCACCUGUUUCAAAACAUAGAUGUUCAAUAAACUAAAUGAAAUAACUAAAAUAAAAGUGUAACAAUUGGUGUAAUGGUUGUCAUACUUGUGCUCUGUAAGCACCACAUUGCCAAAGGAAUUUUGUACAAGAAAAUUUCCAGACUAAAUUCUAAAAAUAAGAAUAAACUCAUUCUUCAACUAUCUCUGUGAAAUAGACCUCUAACAGAUACAGUUAAACUAAACUACCAUCCAUAGAACUGACAUUCAGAUGCAUGUUUCUUUCACAAAGACAAGGGUAUAAUAUUACAUAUGUUCAGUAAUAGAGGCUAAAAUUCAAGAAUAAGAAAGAAAAAAUAUUGAAAUCAAUAAUCUGGACUGAAGACACAGGAUUGAAGCUUACAUUGCUAAGAUUCAAACAGUCAUACUUUGGGAGAAUGAUGUCCACGUGGUGGUUUAACUCUUGCACAGCACGGGAUAGACUAGUGACAACAUCACCAAGGCCUCCCACCUGUAAUAGAUUUCAAUAUAAUACACAAAAAAACUUGAGAAAAUAAAAACAAACAAGCAAAUAUCAGAAGAAAUUAAUAAGCUUUUCAUACACAAGCUACAAUAUUGGGAUCAUAAACAAGACAUCUCACAAACACUCCAAAAACAUAUUAUUUUGGCACUCNNNNNNNNNNNNNNNNNNNNNNNNNNNNNNNNNNNNNNNNNNNNNNNNNNNNNNNNNNNNNNNNNNNNNNNNNNNNNNNNNNNNNNNNNNNNNNNNNNNNCUGAAAUAUAUGCAUGAACAGUAAAAAUGAGAUACAAAUUCCUACCAAAAUAAUAAUGGCAUGUCUAAAAGGUGUAACAGAACUACUGGAUUACCCAUUUUGAGGCUCUAAAAAGUAAACAGAAAGGCCUUCCACUUUUCCAAACCAAACUUUUAUUUCAGUUCCACCCCAGAAAUAGCAUCUCUUAUACUGAAAGUCCUUCACCUGUUUCAAAACAUAGAUGUUCAAUAAACUAAAUGAAAUAACUAAAAUAAAAGUGUAACAAUUGGUGUAAUGGUUGUCAUACUUGUGCUCUGUAAGCACCACAUUGCCAAAGGAUGUAAAUCUGAAUUUCCUUGGAAUUCAAGGAAUUUUGUACAAGAAAAUUUCCAGACUAAAUUCUAAAAAUAAGAAUAAACUCAUUCUUCAACUAUCUCUGUGAAAUAGACCUCUAACAGAUACAGUUAAACUAAACUACCAUCCAUAGAACUGACAUUCAGAUGCAUGUUUCUUUCACAAAGACAAGGGUAUAAUAUUACAUAUGUUCAGUAAUAGAGGCUAAAAUUCAAGAAUAAGAAAGAAAAAAUAUUGAAAUCAAUAAUCUGGACUGAAGACACAGGAUUGAAGCUUACAUUGCUAAGAUUCAAACAGUCAUACUUUGGGAGAAUGAUGUCCACGUGGUGGUUUAACUCUUGCACAGCACGGGAUAGACUAGUGACAACAUCACCAAGGCCUCCCACCUGUAAUAGAUUUCAAUAUAAUACACAAAAAAACUUGAGAAAAUAAAAACAAACAAGCAAAUAUCAGAAGAAAUUAAUAAGCUUUUCAUACACAAGCUACAAUAUUGGGAUCAUAAACAAGGACAUCUCACAAACACUCCAAAAACAUAUAUUUUGGCACUCUUUAAAAACCGGAGGCAGUUAAAUGGAAAAAUGGAUGUGAUGCCCAUAUAUGGUCCCUCUCUCCUUCUCUCCUUCAUUUCUCAGAUACAAAACAUUUUAGGAAGUGUUCUUCCCAUUCCCUUUUUUUUUUUCCUUUUUAGGGGAAAAUAAUUCAGCUAUGAUUUCCAAAACAUACACAAUCACAAGAACAUGAACAAUUCAAAGAUCUUCCUACUCUUUUCUUAUCUUUUUUUCCCUUUAAUACAGACCAAAUUUACAAGAGAGAGAAGUAGAAAUAACUCCUUAUGAAAGGAAAAACUAAUAAAAGAAAAUUGAAAUCAAAAUGAUGGCUAGGCAUAAUAAAGGAGAUGACCCUAUAACUUUGAUGAGUCAACAUCCAAAUUCCCAAUUUGAAACACCAAACUUAGCUAGGAGAUCAUCUCUAACUAAGACAACUUCAUAGCCAUUAUGAGGAGAAAUCAAUGAGCUUAAUCAAAAUAAGCAUAUUGUCACAAGAUGCUUCAAAUGACCCUCUCC
Molecule: long non-coding RNA, 41844 nt
Filed under: Vitis vinifera (wine grape)
Lineage: Eukaryota; Viridiplantae; Streptophyta; Magnoliopsida; Vitales; Vitaceae
Source: RNAcentral